This is a long non-coding RNA of Hyla sarda, 751 nucleotides long. RefSeq lists it as uncharacterized. The record is from RefSeq and is a predicted model, not a curated record. NCBI's taxonomy places the organism in Eukaryota, Metazoa, Chordata, Amphibia, Anura, Hylidae. The transcript is spliced from 4 exons.
GGGUACAGUGUGUUGUAUAUUCAGGGGGUACAGUAUGUCAGAAUUAUAUUAGGAGGGUGUGUGCCAGUAUUAUAUUCAAAGAAUACAGUGUUUGGCAGUAUUAUAAUAAUUAUUGUUUUCAUAUAGAGGAUCAGAAUGCAUUGGCAUAGUGAGGAGACGUCUGGGCAUCAAGUUCUGCAGAGAGAAGAUUUAGCUGGAACAAAUCCUGGCGUGAGGGGCCGGUGCUGGACACUGUGUAGGGACGCGGGAAUGCAAAGUCAUACACAUGACUGUGACUGAUGCAGUAUCUCCAGGACAUGGAGUAGCAUUUCCGGACCUACAGCAAGACGUUGGAUGAAGGCAUAGCCCCAGAAAUAACACUGGUCCUGUUCAUCAGUGAGGGGCCGGUGCUGGACACUGUGUAGGGACGCGGGAAUGCAAAGUCAUACACAUGACUGUGACUGAUGCACUAUUUCCAGGACAUGGAGUAGCAUUUCGGGAACUACAGCAAGACGUUGGAUGAAGGCACAGGCCUAGGAAUCAUGCACAUACACAGAAACAUUUGCCCAAAUUCUAGAGGUAACCUCCUUUAGUAUGCCCAGAGGAAGGGCCAUACAGUAGCCAUGGAUUCCCUACAGGUUUCCUCCCCUCUGGAGGUUUUUCCUGUCCUGAGUAUUAGUUACUGUACGCUCUUUGUGAGUGAUGGGAGGUUACAAAAAAUCCCCUACACAAACAUUUUAAUAAAUAAUAAAUAAAGUUCCCCUUUUUUUAA